Molecule: ribosomal RNA, 187 nt
Filed under: uncultured bacterium
Lineage: Bacteria
Description: partial 16S ribosomal RNA
Rfam family: Bacterial small subunit ribosomal RNA
Source: RNAcentral
GGGAGGCAGCAGUGGGGAAUAUUGGGCAAUGGGGGAAACCCUGACCCAGCGACGCCGCGUGGGUGAUGAAGGCCUUCGGGUCGUAAAGCCCUGUCGGGAGGAAAGAACGACCUUGCGGUAAAUAUCCGCAAGGUGUGACGGUACCUCCGAAGGAAGCACCGGCCAAUUCCGUGCCAGCACCGCGGUA